This 1385-nucleotide ribosomal RNA is filed under the name uncultured bacterium. RNAcentral's name for it is "bacterial SSU rRNA". It matches the Rfam family "Bacterial small subunit ribosomal RNA", at positions 28 to 1381 of the family's 1533-position model. The record is from RNAcentral.
GACGAACGCUGGCGGCGUGCCUAAUACAUGCAAGUCGAGCGAGCGGAACUAACAGAUUUACUUCGGUAAUGACGUUAGGAAAGCGAGCGGCGGAUGGGUGAGUAACACGUGGGGAACCUGCCCCAUAGUCUGGGAUACCACUUGGAAACAGGUGCUAAUACCGGAUAAGAAAGCAGAUCGCAUGAUCAGCUUUUAAAAGGCGGCGUAAGCUGUCGCUAUGGGAUGGCCCCGCGGUGCAUUAGCUAGUUGGUAAGGUAAAGGCUUACCAAGGCGAUGAUGCAUAGCCGAGUUGAGAGACUGAUCGGCCACAUUGGGACUGAGACACGGCCCAAACUCCUACGGGAGGCAGCAGUAGGGAAUCUUCCACAAUGGACGCAAGUCUGAUGGAGCAACGCCGCGUGAGUGAAGAAGGUUUUCGGAUCGUAAAGCUCUGUUGUUGGUGAAGAAGGAUAGAGGUAGUAACUGGCCUUUAUUUGACGGUAAUCAACCAGAAAGUCACGGCUAACUACGUGCCAGCAGCCGCGGUAAUACGUAGGUGGCAAGCGUUGUCCGGAUUUAUUGGGCGUAAAGUGAGCGCAGGCGGAAGAAUAAGUCUGAUGUGAAAGCCCUCGGCUUAACCGAGGAACUGCAUCGGAAACUGUUUUUCUUGAGUGCAGAAGAGGAGAGUGGAACUCCAUGUGUAGCGGUGGAAUGCGUAGAUAUAUGGAAGAACACCAGUGGCGAAGGCGGCUCUCUGGUCUGCAACUGACGCUGAGGCUCGAAAGCAUGGGUAGCGAACAGGAUUAGAUACCCUGGUAGUCCAUGCCGUAAACGAUGAGUGCUAAGUGCUGGGAGGUUUCCGCCUCUCAGUGCUGCAGCUAACGCAUUAAGCACUCCGCCUGGGGAGUACGACCGCAAGGUUGAAACUCAAAGGAAUUGACGGGGGCCCGCACAAGCGGUGGAGCAUGUGGUUUAAUUCGAAGCAACGCGAAGAACCUUACCAGGUCUUGACAUCUAGUGCCAUUUGUAGAGAUACAAAGUUCCCUUCGGGGACGCUAAGACAGGUGGUGCAUGGCUGUCGUCAGCCCGUGUCGUGAGAUGUUGGGUUAAGUCCCGCAACGAGCGCAACCCUUGUUAUUAGUUGCCAGCAUUAAGUUGGGCACUCUAAUGAGACUGCCGGUGACAAACCGGAGGAAGGUGGGGAUGACGUCAAGUCAUCAUGCCCCUUAUGACCUGGGCUACACACGUGCUACAAUGGGCAGUACAACGAGAAGCGAGCCUGCGAAGGCAAGCGAAUCUCUGAAAGCUGUUCUCAGUUCGGACUGCAGUCUGCAACUCGACUGCACGAAGCUGGAAUCGCUAGUAAUCGCGGAUCAGCACGCCGCGGUGAAUACGUUCCCGGGCCU